Molecule: long non-coding RNA, 2144 nt
Filed under: Homo sapiens (human)
Lineage: Eukaryota; Metazoa; Chordata; Mammalia; Primates; Hominidae
Description: HSALNT0021117
Source: RNAcentral
GCCGCAUCUCUCUAUUUAUUUUUAGCUUGUCCUUUUAAGAUUUCAAUUUCUGCCUAUGUUUUAUGCUAGCAAAUAUUAUAUGCAUAUAUUAAAUAAAUAGUAACUAUAUAUCUAUUAGAAGCACAUAUGCUUAAUCAUUUUUUUCCAUCUUGGGGAUCUUUUGAAUUCCCCAAGUGUAAUCAUGUUUUAAUAAUGAAGUAUGCGAUCAAAAGCUUUGGAGAACCCUCCUCUAGAGAGUCUUUGAUCCAGUCAUCCUUUGAAGUUUGCCGUGGACUGUGCUCUGGGGUGGGUUUCACAUGCUGGCCCAGAGUGGUCCAGCCAAGGAGAAAGGUCCUGUCAGUGUGGAGAAUAGUAGCACAGCAGCUCUUGAGAGGGACUUGUUGGUGAGGGGGGACUUAACUAUCCUUGAGAAGGAGAUGUCUGGAAGAGCAACUUGGAUGUCUGUCCCCUGUGCCAAUGUGUGCUCCUCCUCUGAGGUUACCUCCUCAGGGCUCCCUCCUACUGAUAUCUAGGCCUUUUCAUGACAUUCUUUACUGAAGAGAGGGAAUCACAAUUUGUCAAAGGGAAAUUUGCAGAUGUGGGAGGCCUAGGAUUUCCUCCAGCAUAGGUAGAACUGUGGUGUCCAAGUAGUACCUUGCAAAUGGUCAGUGUGAGUGGAUGCUGUCAGCAUGCUUAGGAGGCUGAUGUCUUCAGACCUGUGUCCUUCUGCUCUGACUGUAUCUCCCUGCUUCUCUGGUGAUUUAUACUUAUGACAAACACUAUUGGUUGCUGAAUAGAACCACAGUUUUGUUUGGCGUGGCAAUGUGCCCAGUUGAAAGCUCCAUUUCUCAGCCUCCCCUGAAGGGAACAGUGGCCACAUGCCAUGGCUGUGGGCCGUGAGAUGUAAGCUGAAGUCUUUGGAUGGGGCCUCCCAGUGUGCUCAUUAUCAGGGGUCAGAGUCAGCUGGUGUGCAUCCUGUACCCUUCACCUUCCUCCUUCUCUUGCCAGAAACACUGAGUGAUGCUGAGGGUGGGGCCACUGUCUUGUGAACAUCCAGCAACAAGGAGGAGGAUGGAGAGCUGAGUGGAAAGACAGAAGGAGCCCAGGUCCCCGAAGGCCCUAGUCAGCUCCACCCAGACUUUUUGUUAGGAGAGGAAAAUAAGUCUCUGCCUGAUUCAGCCAGCCACUGUCAGACAGUUGGAUUUUCUGUUACUCCCAGGGGAAUGCAGUGCUAACAAACUUGAAAGUCAUGACUGCAGGUCUCACUGACACCUUGGUCAAGGCUGUUGACUUCAUGCAGGAUGCUGAUGCCCUUAGAAUGGAAGAGUGUGAGCAUCCCAUGUCUUCAGGAGCCCUUGCUGCCUCUCCUUCCCUGGCAAUUGUAUUAUAGAAUGUAGAUAUCUUGUCACUGCUAGUCAGCUUGGCCACGCUUGCUGACAGAAAAAAAAAACAACAAAAAACAGAAAACGCCAAUUUGACUCAUGUUAUCAGAGUUUGAUUUCAAGUCCUGGAGGAGGAGAGAGUGAACUGUCUCCUUAAGAAUAACGAAUUCUGUCAGGAAUGUGGAAAGUGAAAGUCAUGAUGAUGUGCUGGAGCCAGUACACAGGCUUGAGAGAGCCGGGGGUGUCCAUCUCUUCCCAAUCCACAUGCCGUGAUGUCCUGUUGGUGACUCGAAGUUGGCCACAGUGGACCUGAAAUCCAGCCCACACUCUGCUCACCACCCUGUGGGCCUUGUCCCAGGACUCAUCCCUUCUCUUCUGGAGCCAUUUCCAAUUCUGCCCAAAAGGACAGCCUGAAGUGCUGGACCCUGGGUACCUGGCUGAAGACUUUGGACUUUAACCUGGAGAUGAUGGAGAGUAUGCAGGAUAAAGUCCAUACCAAAUCCAACGCCUAGCAAAUGGAGAACAAGCCAAAACUAACAAGAUAAAAUGUAGCAGGAAAAAGUGCAAAGAGCUGAAGUGUGGAAUAAGUGGGAGAGGUCUGCCAUGCCCUAUCUGACCUUGCUGCCAUGAUCUUUAAGGCUGUGUGUCCUGGUUGGUGCAGCUACAAGAUGGCAGAAAUGCCUAAGUGAUGGUAUGGAACAGAGGAUCCCUCUUCUCACCAUUGUCUUGCAUGUUUCCUUGUGUGAACCACAAAUAAACUUUUGUUAUGUUAAGCUGCUGAGA